CUACGGGCGGCUCCAGUGGGGCAUAUUGCACAAUGGAGGAAACUCUGAUGCAGCAACGCCGCGUGGAGGAUGACACCUUUCGGAGCGUAAACUCCUUUUAUAUAGGAAGAAGAUGACGGUACUAUAUGAAUAAGCGCCGGCUAACUCCGUGCCAGCAGCCGCGGUAAUACGGAGGGCGCAAGCGUUACUCGGAAUCACUGGGCGUAAAGAGCGUGUAGGCGGAUUAAAAAGUCAGAAGUGAAAUCCUAUAGCUUAACUAUAGAACUGCUUCUGAAACUCUUAAUCUAGAAUAUGGGAGAGGUAGAUGGAAUUUCUGGUGUAGGGGUAAAAUCCGUAGAGAUCAGAGGGAAUACCGAUUGCGAAGGCGAUCUACUAGAACAUUAUUGACGCUGAGACGCGAAAGCGUGGGGAGCAAACAGGAUUAGAUACCCGCGUAGUC
RNAcentral lists this ribosomal RNA (439 nucleotides) under uncultured bacterium. Its description in RNAcentral is "partial 16S ribosomal RNA". It matches the Rfam family "Bacterial small subunit ribosomal RNA", at positions 339 to 795 of the family's 1533-position model. The record is from RNAcentral.